CGCCGCCGAUGCCCUCACCGCCGCCUUCGGAUCCGCUGCCGCCGCCGCCUGAGGCGCCUCCAUCCCCGCCGCUUCUACCGCCGCCUCUACAUCCACCACUACAGCCUCCAACACCGCCGCCAGCCCUGCCGCCGCCGCCGACACCACCCUCGCCGCCGGUAGCCCCGCCGCCGAUGCCCUCACCACCGCCUUCGGAUCCGCUGCCGCCGCCGCCUGGAGCGCCUCCAUCCCCGCCGCCCUACCGCCGCCUCUACAUCCACCACUACAGCCUCCAUCACCGCCGCCAGCCCUGCCGCCGCCGCCGACACCACCCUCGCCGCCGGUAGCCCCGCCGCCGAUGCCCUCACCGCCGCCUUCGGAUCCGCUGCCGCCGCCGCCUGAGGCGCCUCCAUCCCCGCCGCACCUACCGCCGCCUCUAUAUCCACCACUACAGCCUCCAUCACCGCCGCCAGCCCUGCCGCCGCCGCCGACACCACCCUCGCCGCCGGUAGCCCCGCCGCCGAUGCCCUCACCACCGCCUUCGGAUCCGCUGCCGCCGCCGCCUGGGGCGCCUCCAUCCCCGCCGCACCUACCGCCGCCUCUAUAUCCACCACUACAGCCUCCAUCACCGCCGCCAGCCCUGCCGCCGCCGCCGACACCACCCUCGCCGCCGGUAGCCCCGCCGCCGAUGCCCUCACCACCGCCUUCGGAUCCGCUGCCGCCGCCGCCUGGGGCGCCUCCAUCCCCGCCGCACCUACCGCCGCCUCUAUAUCCACCACUACAGCCUCCAUCACCGCCGCCAGCCCUGCCGCCGCCGCCGACACCACCCUCGCCGCCGGUAGCCCCGCCGCCGAUGCCCUCACCACCGCCUUCGGAUCCGCUCCGCCGCCGCCUGGGGCGCCUCCAUCCCCGCCCUCGCCACCGCUCCUGCCGCCAUUAUUGCCGCCAGUCGGUCCCGAGCCGCCAGUUCCGCCGUCACCUCCAUCGACGCCCGUACCACUGCCAGCACCGCCGUCGCCUCUUCCGCCACCGUUACCGAUACCUUCGCAGUCGC
This 1033-nucleotide long non-coding RNA is filed under the name Volvox carteri. Its description in RNAcentral is "long non-coding RNA (VCAR_LNC001857)". Lineage: Eukaryota; Viridiplantae; Chlorophyta; Chlorophyceae; Chlamydomonadales; Volvocaceae. The record is from RNAcentral.